CCAACCAUAGCUCAGUUGGUAGAGCGGAGGACUGUAGUUAUCCUUAGGUCACUGGUUCGAAUCCGGUUGGUUGGA
Molecule: non-coding RNA, 75 nt
Filed under: Strongyloides ratti
Lineage: Eukaryota; Metazoa; Nematoda; Chromadorea; Rhabditida; Strongyloididae
Description: tRNA SRAE_2000600088
Rfam family: tRNA
About the family: Transfer RNA (tRNA) molecules are approximately 80 nucleotides in length. Their secondary structure includes four short double-helical elements and three loops (D, anti-codon, and T loops).
Source: RNAcentral